Molecule: ribosomal RNA, 519 nt
Filed under: uncultured eukaryote
Lineage: Eukaryota
Description: SSU rRNA
Rfam family: Eukaryotic small subunit ribosomal RNA
Source: RNAcentral
AGGGCACCACCAGGAGUGGAGCCUGCGGCUUAAUUUGACUCAACACGGGAAAACUUACCUGGUCCUGACACUAGAAGGAUUGACAGAUUGAUAGCUCUUUCUUGAUUUGGUGGAUGGUGGUGCAUGGCCGUUCUUAGUUGGUGGAGUGAUUUGUCUGGUUAAUUCCGAUAACGAACGAGACUCUAGCCUAUUAAAUAACACGCAGAAUCUUGUCUUCUGCGGUGUUUCUUAAUGGGAUCAAGUGUGUUUAACGCUUUGAAACAGAGCAAUAACAGGUCUGUGAUGCCCUUAGAUGUUCGGGGCUGCACGCGCGCUACAUUGAAAGACAGAAUGAGCCUUCUAGUUUUUAAUAAAGCUAGUAAUCUUUGAAUGUUUUUCUUAAUGGGGAUAGGGGAUUGCAAUUGUGCCCCUUGAACGAGGAAUUCCCAGUAAGUGCUAAUCAUUAGUUAGUACUGAUUACGUCCCUGCCCUUUGUACACACCGCCCGUCGCUACUACCGAUUGAAUGGUUUAGUGAGAU